Non-coding RNA from Triticum urartu, 45 nucleotides. The record is from Rfam. Lineage: Eukaryota; Viridiplantae; Streptophyta; Magnoliopsida; Poales; Poaceae.
AAAACGGUUUUUUUUAAAACUACUCUUACAACCGUAUUAAUUUUG